GUGGGUAGUUUGACUGGGGCGGUCUCCUCCCAAAGAGUAACGGAGGAGCACGAAGGUUAGCUAAUCCUGGUCGGACAUCAGGAGGUUAGUGCAAUGGCAUAAGCUAGCUUGACUGCGAGCGUGACGGCGCGAGCAGGUGCGAAAGCAGGUCAUAGUGAUCCGGUGGUUCUGAAUGGAAGGGCCAUCGCUCAACGGAUAAAAGGUACUCCGGGGAUAACAGGCUGAUACCGCCCAAGAGUUCAUAUCGACGGCGGUGUUUGGCACCUCGAUGUCGGCUCAUCACAUCCUGGGGCUGAAGUAGGUCCCAAGGGUAUGGCUGUUCGCCAUUUAAAGUGGUACGCGAGCUGGGUUUAGAACGUCGUGAGACAGUUCGGUCCCUAUCUGCCGUGGGCGCUGGAGAAUUGAGGGGGGCUGCUCCUAGUACGAGAGGACCGGAGUGGACGCAUCACUGGUGUUCGGGUUGUCAUGCCAAUG
RNAcentral lists this ribosomal RNA (474 nucleotides) under Klebsiella variicola subsp. variicola. RNAcentral describes it as "partial 23S ribosomal RNA". It matches the Rfam family "Bacterial large subunit ribosomal RNA", at positions 2261 to 2734 of the family's 2925-position model. The record is from RNAcentral. Lineage: Bacteria; Pseudomonadati; Pseudomonadota; Gammaproteobacteria; Enterobacterales; Enterobacteriaceae.